AUGGUCCAAGAAGGCUAUUCAUGUCAGUGCCAUAAAACAGACUAAAUGAGAAACAAAGGAGGCACAUGGCAGAUGCUCCGAUCCUCAUCUUCCUCCGUGUGCUGCUUUCAUUGAGAUGGCACCUG
Molecule: long non-coding RNA, 125 nt
Organism: Zingiber officinale
Lineage: Eukaryota; Viridiplantae; Streptophyta; Magnoliopsida; Zingiberales; Zingiberaceae
Exons: 3
Source: RefSeq, a predicted model, not a curated record